ACGGGGUGCAGCAGGCGCGAAACCUUUGCAAUGUGCGCAAGCACGACAAGGUUAAUCCGAGUGUUUCCUGCUAAAGGAAUCUUUUGUUAGUUCUAAAACCACUGAUGAAUAAGGGGUGGGCAAGUUCUGGUGUCAGCCGCCGCGGUAAAACCAGCACCUCAAGUGGUCAGGAGGAUUAUUGGGCCUAAAGCAUCCGUAGCCGGUUCUGUAAGUUUCCGGUUAAAUCCACUAGCUCAACUAAUGGGCUGCCGGAAAUACUGCAGAACUAGGGAGUGGGAGAGGUAGACGGUACUCGGGAGGAAGGGGUAAAAUCCUUUGAUCUCUUGAUGACCACCUGUGGCGAAGGCGGUCUACCAGAACACGUUCGACGGUGAGGGAUGAAAGCUGGGGGAGCAAACCGGAUUAGAUACCCGGGUAGUCCCAGCUGUAAACUAUGCAAACUCAGUGAUGCAUUGGCUUGUGGCCAAUGCAGUGCUGCAGGGAAGCCGUUAAGUUUGCCGCCUGGGAAGUACGUACGCAAGUAUGAAACUUAAAGGAAUUGGCGAGGGAGCACCACAAGGGGUGAAGCCUGCGGUUCAAUUGGAGUCAACGCCAGAAAUCUUACCCGGAGAGACAGCAGAAUGAAGGUCAAGCUGAAGACUUUACCAGACAAGCUGAGAGGUGGUGCAUGGCCGUCGCCAGCUCGUGCCGUGAGAUGUCCUGUUAAGUCA
This 710-nucleotide ribosomal RNA is filed under the name uncultured archaeon. RNAcentral's name for it is "bacterial SSU rRNA". It matches the Rfam family "Archaeal small subunit ribosomal RNA", at positions 325 to 1036 of the family's 1478-position model. The record is from RNAcentral.